Molecule: ribosomal RNA, 332 nt
Filed under: uncultured bacterium
Lineage: Bacteria
Description: bacterial SSU rRNA
Rfam family: Bacterial small subunit ribosomal RNA
Source: RNAcentral
CUGCAUGGCUGUCGUCAGCUCGUGUCGUGAGAUGUUGGGUUAAGUCCCGCAACGAGCGCAACCCUUUUCCUUAUUUGCCAGCGGGUUAAGCCGGGAACUUUAAGGAUACUGCCAGUGACAAACUGGAGGAAGGCGGGGACGACGUCAAGUCAUCAUGGCCCUUACGACCAGGGCUACACACGUGCUACAAUGGUAGGUACAGAGGGUUGCUACACAGCGGUGUGAUGCUAAUCUCAAAAAGCCUAUCGUAGCCCGGAUUGGAGUCUGCAACUCGACUCCAUGAAGUCGGAGUCGCUAGUAAUCGCAGAUCAGAAUGCUGCGGUGAAUACGUU